GAUUUCUGGCUUGAGACCUGUUGCCGGCCACGGUUUCGUGUGUCAGUGCAGCAGGUUCUGGCCAUCCUUCCAGUGCCGUCCUGGCUACUCUUCACUGAGUGGUCAGCGAGCCUGGAUCUUUUACUUUGAAAAAAUUAGAGUGUUUCAAGCAGGCUUUAUGCUUUGAAUACAUUAGCAUGGAAUAAUAAUUUAGGACUUCGGUUCUAUUUUGUUGGUUUCUAGGACUGAAGUAAUGAUUGAUAGGGAUAGUUGGGGGUGCUAGUAUUCAGCGGCCAGAGGUGAAAUUCUCGGAUUCGCUGAAGACUAACUUAUGCGAAAGCAUU
This 323-nucleotide ribosomal RNA is filed under the name uncultured Sandona. RNAcentral describes it as "SSU rRNA". The stretch from base 108 to 323 matches the Rfam family "Eukaryotic small subunit ribosomal RNA", at positions 739 to 955 of the family's 1831-position model. The record is from RNAcentral. Lineage: Eukaryota; Cercozoa; Glissomonadida.